RNAcentral lists this ribosomal RNA (416 nucleotides) under human oral metagenome. Its description in RNAcentral is "bacterial LSU rRNA". It matches the Rfam family "Bacterial large subunit ribosomal RNA", at positions 2515 to 2925 of the family's 2925-position model. The record is from RNAcentral.
UGUUUGGCACCUCGAUGUCGGCUCAUCUCAUCCUGGGGCUGUAGCCGGUCCCAAGGGUAUGGCUGUUCGCCAUUUAAAGAGGUACGUGAGCUGGGUUUAAAACGUCGUGAGACAGUUUGGUCCCUAUCUGCUGUGGGCGUUGGAGAUUUGACGGGGGCUGCUCCUAGUACGAGAGGACCGGAGUGGACACACCUCUGGUGUACCUGUUGUCACGCCAGUGGCAUCGCAGGGUAGCUAAGUGUGGAAGAGAUAACCGCUGAAAGCAUCUAAGCGGGAAACUCGCCUGAAGAUGAGAUCUCCCUGGGGACGCGAUCCCCCUGAAGGGUCGUUCAAGACCAGGACGUUGAUAGGCCGGGUGUGGAAGCGCAGUAAUGCGUGAAGCUAACCGGUACUAAUUGCCCGUGAGGCUUGACCCU